CCUACGGGUGGCAGCAGUGAGGAAUAUUGGUCAAUGGGCGCAAGCCUGAACCAGCCAAGUCGCGUGAGUGAAGACGGCCCUACGGGUUGUAAACCUCUUUUGCCGGGGAGCAAGCCUGAGCACGUGUGACCAGGCGGAGAGUACCCGGAGAAAAAGCAUCGGCUAACUACGUGCCAGCAGCCGCGGUAAUACGGAGGAUGCGAGCGUUAUACGGAUUUACUGGGUGUAAAGGGAGCGUAGACGGUUACGCAAGUCUGGAGUGAAAGGCGGGGGCCCAACCCCCGGACUGCUUUGGAAACUGUAUAACUGGAGUGCAGGAGAGGUAAGUGGAAUUCCUAGUGUAGCGGUGAAAUGCGUAGAUAUUAGGAGGAACACCAGUGGCGAAGGCGGCUUACUGGACUGUAACUGACGUUGAGGCUCGAAAGCGUGGGGAGCAAACAGGAUUAGAUACCCCAGUAGUC
Molecule: ribosomal RNA, 461 nt
Filed under: uncultured bacterium
Lineage: Bacteria
Description: partial 16S ribosomal RNA
Rfam family: Bacterial small subunit ribosomal RNA
Source: RNAcentral